GAUGAAGAACGUAGCGAAAUGCGAUACUUGGUGUGAAUUGCAGAAUCCCGUGAACCAUCGAGUCUUUGAACGCACAUUGCGCCCCCUGGUAUUCCGGGGGGCAUGCCUGUCCGAGCGUCAUUGCUGCCCUCAAGCACGGCUUGUGUGUUGGGCCUCCGUCCUCCUCCCGGGGGACGGGCCCGAAAGGCAGCGGCGGCACCGCGUCCGGUCCUCGAGCGUAUGGGGCUUCGUCACCCGCUCUUGUAGGCCCGGCCGGCGCUUGCCGACACAUCAAUCUUUUUUCCAGGUUGACCUCGGAUCAGGUAGGGAUACCCGCUGAACUUAAGCAUAUCAAUAAGCGGAGGA
This 345-nucleotide unclassified non-coding RNA is filed under the name soil metagenome. RNAcentral describes it as "partial contains 5.8S ribosomal RNA, internal transcribed spacer 2, and large subunit ribosomal RNA". The stretch from base 1 to 120 matches the Rfam family "5.8S ribosomal RNA", at positions 35 to 154 of the family's 154-position model. The record is from RNAcentral.